AUGAACGCUGGCGGCGUGCCUAAUACAUGCAAGUCGAGCGAACGGACGAGAAGCUUGCUUCUCUGAUGUUAGCGGCGGACGGGUGAGUAACACGUGGAUAACCUACCUAUAAGACUGGGAUAACUUCGGGAAACCGGAGCUAAUACCGGAUAAUAUUUUGAACCGCAUGGUUCAAAAGUGAAAGACGGUCUUGCUGUCACUUAUAGAUGGAUCCGCGCUGCAUUAGCUAGUUGGUAAGGUAACGGCUUACCAAGGCAACGAUGCAUAGCCCACCUGAGAGGGUGGUCGGCCACACUGGAACUGAGACACGGUCCAGACUCCUACGGGAGGCAGCAGUAGGGAAUCUUCCGCAAUGGGCGAAAGCCUGACGGAGCAACGCCGCGUGAGUGAUGAAGGUCUUCGGAGCGUAAAACUCUGUUAUUAGGGAAGAACAUAUGUGUAAGUAACUGUGCACAUCUUGACGGUACCUAAUCAGAAAGCCACGGCUAACUACGUG
Molecule: ribosomal RNA, 496 nt
Filed under: uncultured bacterium
Lineage: Bacteria
Description: partial 16S ribosomal RNA
Rfam family: Bacterial small subunit ribosomal RNA
Source: RNAcentral